Molecule: ribosomal RNA, 254 nt
Filed under: uncultured bacterium
Lineage: Bacteria
Description: partial 16S ribosomal RNA
Rfam family: Bacterial small subunit ribosomal RNA
Source: RNAcentral
UACGGAGGGUGCAAGCGUUAAUCGGAAUUACUGGGCGUAAAGGGUGCGUAGGUGGUUUGAUAAGUUAGCUGUGAAAUUCCUGGGCUUAACCUGGGGUGGUCAGCUAAGACUGUUAGACUUUGAGUAUAGGAGAGGGUAGUGGAAUUUCCGGUGUAGCGGUGAAAUGCGUAGAGAUCGGAAGGAACACCAGUGGCGAAGGCGGCUACCUGGCCUAAUACUGACACUGAGGCACGAAAGCGUGGGGAGCAAACAGG